This 253-nucleotide ribosomal RNA is filed under the name uncultured bacterium. RNAcentral's name for it is "partial 16S ribosomal RNA". It matches the Rfam family "Bacterial small subunit ribosomal RNA", at positions 524 to 776 of the family's 1533-position model. The record is from RNAcentral.
UACAGAGGAUGCAAGCGUUAUCCGGAAUGAUUGGGCGUAAAGCGUCUGUAGGUGGCUUUUUAAGUCCGCCGUCAAAUCCCAGGGCUCAACUCUGGACAGGCGGUGGAAACUACCAAGCUGGAGUACGGUAGGGGCAGAGGGAAUUUCCGGUGGAGCGGUGAAAUGCGCAGAUAUCAGGAGGAACACCGGUGGCGAAGGCGGUUCUCUGGGCAUUACCUGACGCUGAGGAGCGAAAGUGUGGGGAGCGAACAGG